Molecule: ribosomal RNA, 253 nt
Filed under: uncultured bacterium
Lineage: Bacteria
Description: partial 16S ribosomal RNA
Rfam family: Bacterial small subunit ribosomal RNA
Source: RNAcentral
UACGUAGGGGGCAAGCGUUAUCCGGAUUUACUGGGUGUAAAGGGAGCGUAGACGGCAGUGCAAGUAUGGAGUGAAAGGCGGGGGCUCAACCCCCGGACUGCUCUGGAAACUGUACGGCUGGAGUGCAGGAGAGGUAAGUGGAAUUCCUAGUGUAGCGGUGAAAUGCGUAGAUAUUAGGAGGAACACCAGUGGCGAAGGCGGCUUACUGGACUGUAACUGACGUUGAGGCUCGAAAGCGUGGGGAGCAAACAGG